RNAcentral lists this non-coding RNA (215 nucleotides) under unclassified sequences. RNAcentral's name for it is "PAGEV RNA". It matches the Rfam family "PAGEV RNA". The record is from Rfam by way of RNAcentral.
CGGGGGUUGGAAUCACGAUGUUGUGGCCCCCGCUAGCGUUGAACUGGUGAUCACGGGGAUCUCCAUACACCAGUCGGUACAGCCGCGUCACUACUAAAGUAGGCCGCUAGGGGAUGCCCGCAUUGCUCCUAGCGCUCCGAAUUUUAUGCGUAGUGUCGCGCUGCACGCCGUGGAGGGGUGAGACUUGUUGGAAGUCUCAGAAGGUGCAGACGCCG